GACGAAGGGGGCUAGCGUUGUUCGGAAUUACUGGGCGUAAAGCGCGUGUAGGCGGUUGCCCAAGUCGGGUGGGAAAGCCUUGAGCUCAACUCAAGAAAUGCACUCGGUACUGGGUGACUAGAGGACCGGAGAGGAUAGUGGAAUUCCCAGUGUAGUGGUGAAAUACGUAGAGAUUGGGAAGAACACCAGUGGCGAAGGCGGCUAUCUGGACGGUUUCUGACGCUAAGACGCGAAAGCGUGGGGAGCAAACAGG
This 253-nucleotide ribosomal RNA is filed under the name uncultured bacterium. Its description in RNAcentral is "partial 16S ribosomal RNA". It matches the Rfam family "Bacterial small subunit ribosomal RNA", at positions 524 to 776 of the family's 1533-position model. The record is from RNAcentral.